UACGAGAGGCCCAAACGUUAUUCGGAUUUACUGGGCUUAAAGAGUUCGUAGGCGGUUCGGUAAGUGAGGCGUGAAAGCCCUCGGCUCAACCGAGGAAUUGCGCUUCAAACUGCCGGGCUCGAGGGAGAUAGAGGUGAGCGGAACUGAUGGUGGAGCGGUGAAAUGCGUUGAUAUCAUCAGGAACACCAGAGGCGAAGGCGGCUCACUGGGUCUCUUCUGACGCUGAGGAACGAAAGCUAGGGGAGCAAACGGG
RNAcentral lists this ribosomal RNA (253 nucleotides) under uncultured bacterium. RNAcentral describes it as "partial 16S ribosomal RNA". It matches the Rfam family "Bacterial small subunit ribosomal RNA", at positions 524 to 776 of the family's 1533-position model. The record is from RNAcentral.